This 1865-nucleotide long non-coding RNA is filed under the name Salmo salar (Atlantic salmon). RNAcentral's name for it is "lncRNA (ENSSSAG00000117443.1, ENSSSAG00000121708.1)". Lineage: Eukaryota; Metazoa; Chordata; Actinopteri; Salmoniformes; Salmonidae. The record is from RNAcentral.
GUUUAGGAGAGGUGCUGGCUAGCAGAGUAGAACACCUGUUUAGGAGAGGUCCUGGCUAGCAGAGUAGAACACCUGUUUAGGAGAGGUGCUGGCUAGCAGAGUAGAACACCUAUUUAGGAGAGGUGCUGGCUAGCAGAGUAGGACACCAAUUUAGGCGAGGUGCUGGCUAGCGGAGGAGAACACUUGAAAAAUUAGAGCCGCACAGAGAGACGCAAUAAUUUAAUAACCAACGUUUCGACAUACAAGCUGUCUUCAUCAGGGUAUAAUAACAAACAAUGCAGGGUGGCUAGUUUAUAUAGUGUCAAUAGACACACACAGGUGACUGUAACCAUGGCCGGGUGUGGCCCGAUAUCAUUGGUUAAUUCUCAGAUAUAAAAUAACAUUCCAAAAACAUGAAUGGAUAGCAUACGAUCAUAGAUACAAUUUGGCUACAUAGGCCUAAAAACGUUUACAAUGAGUAGCAAAAUCACAAGAAUGGCUUCAGAUCAACGUCUACGGUGAGACCAAAAGGGAGCAAAGGUCUUUAAAUUAAAGAUCCAGGCAGCCUCUCGUUUUAACAAUAAAUUGUCGAGGUCACUCCCUCUCCUCGGGAGGGUGACAUGUUCGAUGCCAAUAUAACGUAGAGAUGAAAUCGAGUGAUUUGCUUCCAAAAAGUGGGCCGCAACUGGAUAAAUCGAGUUUUUGCACCUGAUGGUGCUACGAUUCUCGGAGAUUCGUACUUUUAAUUCGCGCUUUGUUUUAGCCACAUCAUUUUACCACAAGGACAAGUUCUAAGAUAAAUAACUGCCUUAGUGGAACACGUAAUAACACCUUUGAUUGGGAUCGAUUUCCCUGUUUGGGGGUGUUUGAAGGAUCUACAUUUAUAAGUGCCAUUGCAUUGAGCACAGCCAUUACACUUGUAGUUUCCAUCCAGUAGAGGCGCAAAUAGGCGUUGUGCAGGAAUAUCUUGGGUGGUAAAAUCAGAGUUGACCAAUUGAUCUCUGAGUUUUCUGCACCGCGAGAAUACAACCAAGGGAAGGGCUGAAAACACAUUACCGAUACUGUCAUCGGAUCUUAGAAUGUGCCGAUGUUUGUGAACGAUUCCCUUAAUAUGUUCAGAGCACUUUGAAUAGCGGGUAGUUAGAACGCAAGAAUGCUCAUUUUGCGAGACUGACCUUGAAAAAGAUCAUGUCUCGGUUUGUUUUGAAUUUUCUCAACGGCUGUAUUAAUCUGACCCUUUUUGUACCCCCCACCCCCUCUCCUUGAAUUUUCUUUGAGUCUCAGCCAUAUUUCUGUCAAGUCUGAUUGUUUUUUUUGCAUAUUCUUUUGAUAUUGACAGAUUUGGCUGUAGGGCAAACUGUUUUUCAAGGGAAGCGGGUGACAACUAUCAGCCCUCAACCAACUGUUAUGAUCAGUAGGUUUCCUUUUACGAUCAGUAGGUUUCCUGUUACGAUCAGUAGGUUUCCUGUUACGAUCAGUAGGUUUCCUGUUACGAUCAGUAGGUUUCCUGUUACGAUCGGUAGGUUUCCUGUUACGAUCGGUAGGUUUCCUGUUACGAUCGGUAGGUUUCCUGUUACGAUCAGUAGGUUUCCUGUAAAGAUCAGUGUAUAGAACAUUAUCUAACCACACAAGAUCAGAAGAUCCAGGAAACUGAUUUGACGGGUGUCAGACUGCAUAGUAAAUCAGGUGCUCAGAACAAGAUUUAAAAAACAGCCUAGAAACGCCUGGAGCUGUUUGGCAUCACCCCUCCACAGAACACAAAUAUCAUCAAUAUACCGUCUCCAAAUCAUGAUGUUAGGCAAGAAAACAUUUUUGAGAGGAUUGAAAAUAGACUUGUUUCUCCAUGUAACCCACAUCCAAAUCAGCAUAGUUAGGAGCCAAGGGGG